GAUGAACGCUGGCGGCGUGCCUAAUACAUGCAAGUCGAACGAAACUUCUUUAUCACCGAGUGCUUGCACUCACCGAUAAAGAGUUGAGUGGCGAACGGGUGAGUAACACGUGGGCAACCUGCCCAAAAGAGGGGGAUAACACUUGGAAACAGGUGCUAAUACCGCAUAACCAUAGUUACCGCAUGGUAACUAUGUAAAAGGUGGCUAUACUACCGCUUUUGGAUGGGCCCGCGGCGCAUUAGCUAGUUGGUAGGGUAAAGGCUUACCAAGGCAAUGAAGCGUAGCCGAAUUGAGAGGUUGAUCGGCCACAUUGGGACUGAGACACGGCCCAAACUCCUACGGGAGGCAGCAGUAGGGAAUCUUCCACAAUGGGCGAAAGCCUGAUGGAGCAACGCCGCGUGGGUGAAGAAGGUCUUCGGAUCGUAAAACCCUGUUGUUAGAGAAGAAAGUGCGUGAGAGUAACUGUUCACGUUUCGACGGUAUCUAACCAGAAAGCCACGGCUAACUACGUG
This 512-nucleotide ribosomal RNA is filed under the name uncultured bacterium. RNAcentral describes it as "partial 16S ribosomal RNA". It matches the Rfam family "Bacterial small subunit ribosomal RNA", at positions 28 to 507 of the family's 1533-position model. The record is from RNAcentral.